CAGCCAGUGAAGCAUGGAGUGCGCUUGCUCUAACAAAACUAAAUUGCAGCAGAUCGGAAAUGGAAGCUCUCCCAGGCAGUAUAUGUAAAUACAACUGAUCGAUCAAGUUGGUAUCAGUUCAUGACGCAAGGUGGCCCGGUCAAGGCUGGAGUGCCUUUGGAUGUUUCCAAAUUCGUAUACAAGCAUUAACAGCAGCAGAUCAGAAGUGAGGAGUGGAAAGAAGAAGAGCUGGCAGCAUAAACAUCGUUACCCAUAAAAGUAUCAUGUCAGUUGGAGCUGCAAGGCGGCCCUCGCAGGAAAUAUGUGUGAGGAUUUACCUUGUGGCAAACACCUGUUGCAACUUCCGCUUGCCGCUGCGCGCUGUCAGAGCUUUUUCGUUAAUCAAACACAGAAAUGUAAUUUAUUAAAACGCCCAAAGGACUAAGGAAGCAGGCAGCAACAUGGCCGAAACAUUCAUUCUACCAAAUGCGAUGGGAUUAGUUUUAUCCAGUUAAAGAUGCUUGCCAGCCUGCGACAUUAGUCGAGACGUGAUCUCAUUGAUUGGGCCAGCCUAAAACAGGAAUCAGCCUGAGAUUUUGACUGCUUCAGUUGGCGCCCAUCUGCUGGCUCAGAUUUGAUGGCAUAAAUCUACACGGUACACAAUAGGUUGAGCAAAGGGAAAGAACGAACUCUGCAGUGCUGAUGAUUAAAUACACUUUCAGACUGACAGUAAUGGAAUUAUAUGAAUAACAACCUUCCUGGGACAAAGCAAACCCUUAGAUAAUUAUUUCUAUGAUAAAUGUUGACUACUGGUAAACGGCUAUUUCUGAUCAAAAAUCAAUAUAAAGUGAUUUCGUGACAAAAACUGCAAUACCCUACGUUAGGGUAUACAAACACAUAAGCUACGGCAAGCAAAUUUAAAAUCGGAAGAGAACAAGAGUAAGAUGUGAAAGUAGCAUUAGGGUUGGGGAUAAGCAGUACUGCCGACACAUACAAGUACUCGUACUUGUGUAAGCGAGUAUUUUAGCAAAACCUCAUGACAACGCACAGGUUGUGGUGGGAGUCAUGCCUUAAGGCAAACUAACAAGCAACCAAAAGCAGUGCCUCAAUCCAAGGCUGAGUCUAACUAACAGCAACAACAACAAAAGCACCUACAAAAACAAUAAUGGCUGGCUACAGAAGGCAUCUGAAAUUCUCUGGCUUAUCAGCGGGCCAAUGCCGGAAGCUGUGAAAAUAUUCAUACAUAUUUACACGUCUCGGCGCUGGUAGGGAUGCUGCCCCAUUGUGUGGCAAGUUGGUGACGCUCUGCGUAUCGUGCUCUCAUCAAAUUACGUAUUCAGCAGACAGUCUGUCUGACAGACUGUCAGACAAGCAAAACAAAUAAACGACUAAUAAAAAUUCCUUUGGCAUCAAAUUUGCCUGCACUUUGUAUAGUUAGGCAGCAUCCUGUCACACUGACAGCACUUGUAGUGUAUUCAGCAUGUUUACUUAAUUGGUUUACUUUACCGAUCAACAAAUUGCUUUACAUACUACCGUUUGUUUGCCAACAAUUAAACUAGUUAGUCAACAA
Drosophila virilis is the source of this 1549-nucleotide non-coding RNA. The record is from RefSeq and is a predicted model, not a curated record. NCBI's taxonomy places the organism in Eukaryota, Metazoa, Arthropoda, Insecta, Diptera, Drosophilidae.